AUCAUUUAGUUAAACAUUUUGGCUAAGAUCACAGUGUAGUAUCUGUUCUUAUCAGUUUAAUAUAAUGAAAAUCUCAACAAUUGAAGAACCCGGGGACCAUAUAUUAAAUUGAUUUUUGGAAUAGGGAGAUGGAAAAGAGCAUUGGUAUUCUAUCCACUCCAGACAGUUUUCGACCUGGUAUUCAGUCCUUCAGGUUGCAGGUGCACCCCU
The sequence is a small nuclear RNA, 210 nucleotides long. Its record names the gene U2. It matches the Rfam family "U2 spliceosomal RNA". From Rfam's summary of the family: U2 is a small nuclear RNA (snRNA) component of the spliceosome (involved in pre-mRNA splicing). Complementary binding between U2 snRNA (in an area lying towards the 5' end but 3' to hairpin I) and the branchpoint sequence (BPS) of the intron results the bulging out of an unpaired adenosine, on the BPS, which initiates a nucleophilic attack at the intronic 5' splice site, thus starting the first of two transesterification reactions that mediate splicing. The record is from Ensembl.